CUAAGAACCCUGAUUGACCAGGAAGAAAAAAAAUUAAGUCUGAAUCAUGUCCCUCAAGAGCUUGGCACACACGUGAUUUCAAUACAGUCCGUGUUCUGGAGGAAAGACGGGACUCUUGGAGCUUCAGUAAGGAACACAAAGGCCUUUGACUGCAAGGAACUCAGUCUACUGGGAGAGAUGGAUACAUCAACAGAAUCAUCGAAAUGCCUUUCCUUUAAAGCAAAGACCAUUCAGAAUCAAAGGCUCAUUUCCUGGAAAUACAGGGCUGGACGGCAGCCAUCCCUCAAAUGAGGCCCCAUGGAGAAGACUUGGAAAUGCACGCUCCCAACUCAGGUUUCCAGUGGAUGCAUAUUAAACCCCAAGGACUGGAAGCUGAGGUCAUGGAUUGCUUUCUCAUUGCUGUCAAGGUGCCCAAAAAAAAGAGACACUGUUUGCACCCCCGGGCUCACUGGUUCAGUCUUUCUCCUUCUUCCCCGGCUUCUCACCACUCCUCAUGCACUGUCAGUGGAAGCCCUGCCUCUACCUGCAAUAGGAAACUGAGCCGAGAGACGGUCCCCUUACGGCCUCUAACCUGCGCAUCUCAGGCACGAGAUCCUCUCCCUUCAGCAUUCCUGCCUUCCUUAUUCCCUGUGUCCUGGGCCCUCUGCACACCUUAUCUCCAGCCCUGUUUGGCAUCGACAUUCUAA
This 686-nucleotide long non-coding RNA is filed under the name Sus scrofa (pig). RNAcentral's name for it is "lncRNA (ENSSSCG00035053831.1)". Lineage: Eukaryota; Metazoa; Chordata; Mammalia; Artiodactyla; Suidae. The record is from RNAcentral.